CCUACGGGAGGCAGCAGUAAGGAAUAUUGGUCAAUGGAGGAAACUCUGAACCAGCCAUGCCGCGUGCAGGAUGACUGCCCUAUGGGUUGUAAACUGCUUUUAUACGGGAAGAAACCCCGCUACGUGUAGCGGGUUGACGGUACUGUAAGAAUAAGGACCGGCUAACUUCGUGCCAGCAGCCGCGGUAAUACGAAGGGUCCAAGCGUUAUCCGGAUUUAUUGGGUUUAAAGGGUGCGUAGGCGGCUUUUUAAGUCAGUGGUGAAAGCCUGAUGCUCAACAUCAGAACUGCCAUUGAUACUGAAGAGCUUGAGUACAGUUGAGGUUGGCGGAAUGUGUCAUGUAGCGGUGAAAUGCUUAGAUAUGACACAGAACACCGAUUGCGAAGGCAGCUAGCUAAGCUGUAACUGACGCUGAUGCACGAAAGCGUGGGGAGCAAACAGGAUUAGAUACCCUGGUAGUCCACGCCCUAAACGUUGAUAACUCGCUGUUGGCGAUAUACUGCCAGCGGCCAAGCGAAAGCAUUAAGUUAUCCAACCUGGGAAGUUACGGUUGCAAGAUUGAAACUUCAAAGGAUUGACGG
RNAcentral lists this ribosomal RNA (580 nucleotides) under uncultured bacterium. RNAcentral's name for it is "bacterial SSU rRNA". It matches the Rfam family "Bacterial small subunit ribosomal RNA", at positions 338 to 916 of the family's 1533-position model. The record is from RNAcentral.